UGAGUCCAGAGUCCAGGGCAUGCAGCAGUGAGGCGAGAGUCGGGUCCAGGCAGGGAGUAACUGAAUGCACAAGAAACAAGGGUUAAAGAGAUGAAGAAUGACCCAGCUGACACAGACCACCUCACUUCCUGCCCCUUGUGGGUUUCCCGCCAGUCUUGAUUACAUGUUCUGCCCUAAUUACUUGCACCUGUGCCCUAUUGUCUGCAUCCACCUGUGUAUAUAGUCAGCUGCCUUCAGUCACUCUUUGCCCGUUGACCCCUGUGUUUUGGACUUUGCCUCUGCCUAUUCCUGGUGGAUUUGUUUGCUGUCUCCUGACUGCCUGCCUGUGUACUGAAACUGCAUUUUAGAAAGUAAAAGACAGUUCCCUUACCUCC
Siniperca chuatsi (mandarin fish) is the source of this 374-nucleotide long non-coding RNA. RefSeq lists it as uncharacterized. NCBI's taxonomy places the organism in Eukaryota, Metazoa, Chordata, Actinopteri, Centrarchiformes, Sinipercidae. The transcript has 3 exons. The record is from RefSeq and is a predicted model, not a curated record.